UAUUCACAGGUGCAAUCAUAGUGCACUACAGCCUCAAACUCCUAGCCUCAAGCAAUCCUCAUGCCUCAGCCUCCAGAGUAGCUGGGCCUACAGGUACUUAACACCUCAUCUGGCAUCCCCCAGUCAGAUAUUUGGAUGAGACCCCUGCCUUGGCUAACACCUUGAUGAAAACCUGUGGAAGGUUCUAAGGCAGGACCCUCAGCGCAGCCACUUCUCCAGGCACUCGGCAGAGAGAACGCGCGUAGGCGUUGCCCUGGCAACGCCGGGAUGCCCAGCAACAAGUCCGCGGCGUGUAUCACGUGCUCGGCGCGGACCAAUCCGAGGGCCCGCCGGGAAGCAGGAGCAAUAGCAAAAAUUGGGAAUGGGAAGAAACAGGUACCAGCCAGGACACCUGAACGAACUUGGAGCUCAGGAACCCAGGAGGGGAUUGGAGAGAGUGGGGAGACUCCAUGGUCCACAAUGAAUGCUCCUUCCCCAUCCGAAAAAAUCCCCUAGCCCAGUUUUUGGGCAGAUGCCAGACUUUUAUUCUGAAGCGUGGGCCACAACCUAUGAGGUAAUCUUUGGAGCUUCAUUCUGAGGCGGAAUCCCAUUGGCCAGUUGGGGAAGCCCCUCCCAGGAUUCCUGGCGCUCCGCCUUCCCUGAAGCCUAUAAAAGCGCAGGUCCCCGCCUCGGCAGCCACGGGACACCUGCAUCUGCCAACAAGACUGGAAGCAGAAAGGGACAGAGACGGCGAAGUUUGACGGUCUGGAAAGCAGAGACCAGCAGGGCUGACUGCUUGGGAGCACGAGGGACAGCUCUCCACCGACCGAAGGAGGAGAAUGCUAUUUAUUUCAGCACCAAAUAUCCGGACAGCGCCUCUCGGGAGGUCCGAGAAGAGAACCGCGAUCUGUUUCAGCACCGGGGCUCAGGACAGUUCCCAGCGGGCUCCGUUUCGUCUCCAGAACCCUGGACAGCUCCUCCAGAGACGGGGUUUCACCAUGUUGGCCAGGCUGGUCUCAAACUCUUGACCUCUUCAUCCGUCCACCUCAGCCUCCCAAAGUGCUAGGAUUACAGGCGUGAGUCACUGCGCCUGGCCCAAGUCCGGAAUUUUCAACAGGACAUGGGUGUUACUGUGCCCAUGUGACAUUUGGGGAACCCAAGGCCCUGAGAAAGGCAGAAAAAUAACCCACGCAGGGACUCUCAGCCCACAAGUGAAGCUGAGAACCGGGAAUGGAAAACAGGGAGGCAGCACAGAGGCAGGAAACUCAGGUGUCAUAGCUUGGCUCAGCUUGGAAUGCACUCCCUCCACCUCCAACCAGAGCUCCCCACAACUGACCCUGCCUUCUUCUGCAAGCUCCAUUUCAUCAAGGGAAACGAUCCUUAUUGCCUCACCAUUUCCCACGUGAAGUCUGUAUUGACAUUCUCAUAGACCUGGGAUAUUGUGUCUGCAGCACAUAGUCCAAUUAUUUUCAUGUUAUCUACUGACAGGUCUAUUUGUCUCCCUGUUACACUGUGAGCUCCGUGAGGGCAGAAACAAUGUUAGUAUUUUCACUGCUGUGUCCCCAGCGCCUGGUCCGGGGCCCGGCACACAGCAGGCAUAUAAUAAGCAUGUGUUGAAUCAAUAAAGGCAUCAAAGAAUAAACCAAUACAUCAAUCAAUAAAUGAAUGAAUGGCCUCAGCACACACAGGAAGAUCCUUCUUCUAGGUCUCCCCCAGAGAGAUACUGGAGGGCAAUGGUUGCUGGAGGUGUUUAUUGGGGAAGCAUAAUUGAAUUUGUGGACACUUAAGGGCCGGCCAGCCAACUCACAGCCCCAAGAGAGAGAGCCAGGCUCAUUUAAUUAGCAAUUACAAGGCACUGAUUCCUCAUUAGCUCUGGCAACCCUCGUCUCCCUCCUCAGCCCCAGACAAAUGAAAUCUUUCUCUCUCUCCCAGGAGUACUGCCUCAGUGGGUCCAUUAACAAGCAGAGAAAAUGAGAUUAGAAGACACCUAAAUGCCAGAGGCACUUUAUGAAUGGGCUGAGCAGAGGGAGGUUCAAUGUCUGGGUUAGGUCUAAUUGUGGGAGGUUUCCUGGUCUAUUUAGAAUUGCCCCCUGGGAAUGCAAGGUCUUUCAGAAAGGAAAAGGCACACAGAUAUUGCCUUCUGGGGUCCUCAAUGGAGGAGGACAUUCUGCUAUGGGUGUCUCCCAGUCACCCCAAAUUAAUCAUUUCAAAGUGAACACUCAAUCUGCCCAGCCCCUAGCUUCCUCCCCUGACAUGCCCAUGAAUAUGACAGUCCCUCUACAUGCCCAAGAUCCUCCCCUCCUCAUCCACUCCCCAUGAUCCCCAAGAUGAGUCACUGUGCUCAAAUCCAUCCUCUCUCCUCCAGCCCUCUGCCUCCAUGACCUCCCUCCAGCCCUCUGCCUCCAUGACCUCCGCCUCCCUGCAUGUCCGGAUCUCCUCACUGUCUCCCCUCUGAGCAUACACACACAUACAGCCUGUUCAUUCUCUACAUGCAGCGAGGGGACUUUCCAGAACACACAUCUGACCAAGUUCCACUCCUGCCUGUCACCCUUCCAAGAGCCCCACUGACUGCAGAAUAACGUUCAAAUAUCCGGUUGGGCGUGGUGGCUCAUGCCUGCAGUCCCAGCACUUUGGGAGGCCAAGGUGGGUGGAUCACUUGCACAGGACCACAGGCGUGUGCCACCACACCCAGCUAAUUUUUAUAUUUUUGGUAGAGACGGAGUUUCACCAUGUUGGCCAGGCUGACCUCAAGUGAUCCACCCGCCUCAACCUCCCAAAGUGCUGGGAUUACAGGCAUGAGUCACUGCACCGGUCUAAUUUUUUCAGAGUCUCACUCUUGCCCAGGCUGGAGUGCAGUAGCAUGAUCUCGGUUCACUGCAACCUCUGCCUCCUGGUUUCAAGCGAUUCUCUUGGCUCAGCCUCCUGAGCAGCUGGGAUUACAGGCACGUGCCACCACACUUAGCUAAUUUUUGUAUUUUUAGUAGAGAUGGGGGUCUCACCAUGCUGGCACAGUUGGUCUUGAACUCCUGACCUCAAGUGAUCCACCCACCUCGGCUUCCCAAAGUGCUGGGAUUACAGACGUGAGCCACCGCGCCCGGCCAGCCUUUAUUGAUUCUUUUUAAAGCCACACUAACCUUUUAUUUUCCCCCAAAGACCCCUGGGAGCCCUCAGUUUUUCCUGGCAGUUUCAUCUUUGUACCCCUGACCUCCCCACACACACGCCUAGCUCAGUGCUGGCAUCCAAUAUUCACUUUGGGUAUAAAUGCUUGUGCCUGAGCCUAUCACCUUCAUCACACAGAAAAUCCUGGAGGCCACACACCCCUGUAAAGACGAGCCAUUACCCACAGAGGUCCAACCAACUUACCACCCUCUCCCAGCCACCCCCAAGGACCCAGCUUGCAGCUGCCUGCUCAAUGGCUUUAGAAACUAAAAAAGGUGAAUGAGUUUCCAUCACUGCCCUCCUGGGCUUUGCCGUUAUGGCUGGUUAACUUGACAGAAGAACACAUUAUACUUCAUUUUUUGCUGUUGUCUUGUUGGAAAAAAAAGUGACAGCUGGGUGCAGUGGUGCACACUGUAGUCACAGCUACUCAGGAGAAUUGCUUGAGCACAGGAAUUGGAGGCUACACUGAGCAAUGAUCGCCUCACUGCACUCCAGCCUGAACGACAGAGCAAGACCCUCUUAAAAAAUACGUGAGAGAGGGUGCGUAUGAUGGCUCAUGCCUGUAAUCCCAGCAGUUUG
Molecule: long non-coding RNA, 3717 nt
Filed under: Homo sapiens (human)
Lineage: Eukaryota; Metazoa; Chordata; Mammalia; Primates; Hominidae
Description: HSALNT0254838
Source: RNAcentral